Long non-coding RNA from Humulus lupulus (European hop), 1190 nucleotides. RefSeq lists it as uncharacterized. Lineage: Eukaryota; Viridiplantae; Streptophyta; Magnoliopsida; Rosales; Cannabaceae. The transcript is spliced from 2 exons. The record is from RefSeq and is a predicted model, not a curated record.
AUACCAUUUUGGCCAGUAUGUUAUGCAAAAGUUACUGAUUGGACUCUCUGUUUUGUUAAAUGACAAUUUGAAUCUUGCGUUUUGCAAAAUGGAACAAAAAUGUACCUUGAACCCAAUUUUAGUCAAAUAUUUUUUAAAUAGGACCAAAAUACCCCUUGUUUUAUUAAGUUCAGAAUUAGUUAAAUAUUAAAAAUAUAUUUUAAAAUAAAUUAAAUUGAUUUUAAAAGAAAAAACUAAUUUAAAUAAUAAAAUAGUAACAUAAAUAAUUUUAAAAUAAACAAACAUAUUUUACUAAAAACAAAACUAAAGAAAUCGAUUUUUCAUCCGAUUUUCUUCUUCUUCUUCUUCUUCUUCUUCUUCUUCUAUUAUAUAGAUUUAGGGUCGUCAAUUUCCAAGGAAGGUUUGGGGUUGUCAACUGGUGUGCUCAUUUCUUCAAGUCGAUUGACGGUGAGAAGCUCCUGGCUUGCUUUCAGAUAUGGCCCAUUAUCCUCUUUGACUGAGCUGCAAACUUGCAGAUCUGAAGCAUUGAUCAUGGGGGAUCGACGGAGCUGGGGAGAACUCAGAUUGAAUGGACAAGUGAAAAAGAUGUAGAUCUAAAACAUUGACCACAUAGAUGUAUGAGGGUCUAAUGACGGUGGGUCCGUGUUUCCAAGGGUCGAUGGCCAUGGAAGAGAGAUGAGGCUAUGCUUUUCAUGGUUUCUGGAAAAAAGUGGAAGGUGCCGACGUGAUAGAGUGAACAUAUUUUUGAACUCAGUUCAUGCGAUUUGGGACAAAUGAGAUAGAGAAAUAGAGGGACAAGGUAUUGGGUUGGGGUUGGAGUUGAGGGGCAUGAGAUCUGAAACCGAAGAUGAAAGCGAGACCUGAGGUGAGCUAGGGAUGGGCUGAAGUUUGAGAUUUGGGGCUUGCUGGGGUGCGAUGAAUCUGGGCAGCUUCGCGUGGUGCUCUUCACCAUCGGAAUUCACUGAUGGCAGUUGGUGGGGCAACGCACGAGACGGACGAUCGGAGUUCAAGUGUUUUCUAGUUUAUGAAUUGAUUUGGGGCUUGAAUGGGUCUUCGGUUUAUUGAGCUUAAGAUUUUUGGUUGAAUCUAGCUGUUGAUUGAAUAUAAAGUUGUCGAAUUUGAGGGACCUGCGAUUUUUCGAUUUUUGAUUUGUGAAUAUGAAGAUAUGAAUUCAAGAGGUUUUUUUGAUA